UUUAAAAUUAUUAAACAUUAAAAUAAAUUCAUUUUAAAAAUUAUUAUCGUAAUGAUAUUCUUUUAUUCCUUUAUAUUACUCUUUACUUUGGCAGUAAAUAAAUUAGUGAUAGUCGCAGUUAAACACAAACUUCAUGCAACAUCGAUAACGUUUGACAACAUAUUGACAGAGUUGUAAGACGUGUCGAAGUGUGUAUGCAAUAUUUAUAUUUUGACUCGUGAUGAUUUUUGGUUAUUCGAUACAGGAAAAAAACAAUUUCUCCGGUAAGAGUAAGAUUUUGAUCGGAUAUAUCUUUAGAGCUAAAUAAAGAUUUAUUUGUCAAGAGGUUGUUUGAUAUAAAAUAAAUCCUCGAAAGAGUUAGUUAUAUUAUCCAAUCCAGACUCUUUAAAGAGUUAACAGAAGAAGAUUUAUUUAUCGAGAAGCGGUUUGAUAAAUUCUUGGAAAAGUUUGGUACGAAGGAAACACCAUGCCUCUGGAUCACCCGCAAUUUAUAGGAGUAUCAAUGGGAUUAAUAAAAAUCAAUAAAUCCAUUUACAAAAUAUGAGAUUCUUUUAAGCGAAGAAGUAUCAUUACUCUCUUCGCUAUGAGAACCUUGUGUAAUGUUAUGGUGUUUCUGCAGAAUGAUUACAACAUAAUUUUUUUUAAUUAGUAUUUUAUUGUUUAUAUGUACGAUAAUGUAUAGCUGACUAUAUGUAUAUGUGAAAAUAAGUUUAAAGAAACAAGAAAGAAUUUAAAUAAAAAAAAGCAAAAAUGAUUUCAUUAUUAUUACUAUGACACUCGUAAUAUUUGUACUUUAUGCUAUGUAAUUUAAUUUUGAAUAUGCAUAAAAUUCAGUCUUAUAGUACGUAUAAACAAUAAAAUACUAACAAUUAAAGAUGCAACGUUUUUUCCCUGCGGGCGUGCGUAAAGAUUGCGGUCGAGAUCAAGAAAGACGAAUCCAGAGACACUUUUAUAACAUGAACGUAUAAUAUAUUUCAUUAAAUUUAUUUUUUACUAGUUAUGAUGAUAUUUAAAGAUAAACGCAAACAAUUAUAAUAUAAAUAAGCUUCGAAACACUGUGACAUUUUAAUAUAAAUGCAAGGAAUUAUAAUAUGAAUUGUAUCCGAAAUACAGAAGGACCGGAUUUACUACUGAUAGAGCGCGCAUUGAUUAUGGCUGGUUCGGUUGCGGACUUUGAUUGGCUGUACGCGGUUCGCAUGCGUCAAAAUUGGUUGUGCUGUCAACGUCUCGUAACGCGGAACUUUCGAAACACGGCGAGCGGUGCGUUCACUUUUAACAUAAGAUUUUUCUUCAGCGACAUCCAGUAAACAUUUUACUUUCUAAAACUUUCCACUUAUUCUACCUGAUAUAUCAAAUAUACUUUUUACCUUUAAGGGGUAGUUUUCACCCCUCAGAGUGAACCUUGGCCGAUAAAAAAAAAUACGUGUGAAAUAUUUUUCAUAGUUUUACAAAUGUGUAAAGUUUCAUUAAAAUCGGAGAGUGACACUUCCGUAGGUUUACUUGUGAGUAUAUACCCAGUGGUUCAGAAGCACCAGUAGCCGAGAAAAAGAAAGAUAGCUUUCGGUACUAUGACUAAAUGGAAUUCUUAAAUGACUCAAUGAUUUCCAGGCCUUCUAAAAGUAACGUUGCAGAGAACACGUCACAUGCUUUCGAUUUCAACGAAGAAAAAGUUGCAGUAACUCUAACUUCAACAAAUGUUUAGUGGAAAAUGAAGAGGAUAGGGAAGAGAAUACAUCAGAAAUAAAGUUAAGUGUGUCCGAUUUUAGCAGCUUCUCGGAGCACACUAAACAUCCAAGAAAGCAGUCAUUUAAUGCUGAAUUUAAGAAGGACUUGUUAAAACUAUUUUCAGAAGAUACAAAAACUUAUGACGGUGUUGAAAGAUUUUUGACUCAACUGGGCGAUAUUUUAAGAAAAUUGCCAUAUAAAAGUAGAAGGCAAUUUGAAACUAAAAUUUUGAUGAAUGCAUUAAAAAUAGAAAAAAA
RNAcentral lists this long non-coding RNA (1982 nucleotides) under Monomorium pharaonis (pharaoh ant). RNAcentral describes it as "uncharacterized LOC105829078, transcript variant X2". Lineage: Eukaryota; Metazoa; Arthropoda; Insecta; Hymenoptera; Formicidae. The record is from RNAcentral.